Molecule: ribosomal RNA, 241 nt
Filed under: uncultured bacterium
Lineage: Bacteria
Description: partial 16S ribosomal RNA
Rfam family: Bacterial small subunit ribosomal RNA
Source: RNAcentral
CGCGUGAGUAACCUGCCUUGGAGUGGGGAAUAACAGUUGGAAACAGCUGCUAAUACCGCAUAAUAUGUCUGUGUCGCAUGGCACUGGGCAUCAAAGAUUUAUCGCUCUGAGAUGGACUCGCGUCUGAUUAGCUAGUUGGCGGGGUAACGGCCCACCAAGGCGACGAUCAGUAGCCGGACCGAGAGGUUGGCCGGCCACAUUGGGACUGAGACACGGCCCAGACUCCUACGGAAGGCAGCAG